RNAcentral lists this ribosomal RNA (497 nucleotides) under uncultured bacterium. Its description in RNAcentral is "partial 16S ribosomal RNA". It matches the Rfam family "Bacterial small subunit ribosomal RNA", at positions 28 to 507 of the family's 1533-position model. The record is from RNAcentral.
GAUGAACGCUGGCGGCGUGCCUAAUAUAUGCGAGUCGAGCGAACAGAUGAGGAGCUUGCUCCUCUGACGUUAGCGGCGGACGGGUGAGUAACACGUGGAUAACCUACCUAUAAGACUGGGAUAACUUCGGGAAACCGGAGCUAAUACCGGAUAAUAUAUUGAACCGCAUGGUUCAAUAGUGAAAGACGGUUUUGCUGUCACUUAUAGAUGGAUCCGCGCCGCAUUAGCUAGUUGGUAAGGUAACGGCUUACCAAGGCAACGAUGCGUAGCCGACCUGAGAGGGUGAUCGGCCACACUGGAACUGAGACACGGUCCAGACUCCUACGGGAGGCAGCAGUAGGGAAUCUUCCGCAAUGGGCGAAAGCCUGACGGAGCAACGCCGCGUGAGUGAUGAAGGUCUUCGGAUCGUAAAACUCUGUUAUUAGGGAAGAACAAAUGUGUAAGUAACUAUGCACGUCUUGACGGUACCUAAUCAGAAAGCCACGGCUAACUACGUG